Molecule: ribosomal RNA, 253 nt
Filed under: uncultured bacterium
Lineage: Bacteria
Description: partial 16S ribosomal RNA
Rfam family: Bacterial small subunit ribosomal RNA
Source: RNAcentral
UACGGAGGGGGCGAGCGUUGUCCGAAGUUACUGGGCGUAAAGCGCGCGUAGGCGGGUUGGUAAGUCGGCUGUGAAAGCCCGGAGCUUAACUCCGGAGGGUCGGUGGAUACUGCCAGUCUUGAAGGUGCUAGGGGGAGAUGGAAUUACCGGUGUAGCGGUGAAAUGCGCAGAUAUCAGGAGGAACACCGGUGGCGAAGGCGGGUCUCUGGGCAGUAACUGACGCUGAGGCGCGAAAGCUAGGGGAGCGAACAGG